RNAcentral lists this ribosomal RNA (198 nucleotides) under uncultured bacterium. RNAcentral's name for it is "partial 16S ribosomal RNA". It matches the Rfam family "Bacterial small subunit ribosomal RNA", at positions 328 to 539 of the family's 1533-position model. The record is from RNAcentral.
ACGCUCGACACCUACGGGGGGCAGCAGUGGGGAAUAUUGCACAAUGGGGGAAACCCUGAUGCAGCGACGCCGCGUGAGCGAAGAAGUAUUUCGGUAUGUAAAGCUCUAUCAGCAGGGAAGAAACUGACGGUACCUGACUAAGAAGCACCGGCUAAAUACGUGCCAGCAGCAGCGGUAAUCUGAGCGGGCUGGCAAGGC